GACGGAAGGUGCAAGCGUUGCUCGGAAUCACUGGGCGUAAAGGGUGCGUAGGCGGCGGGGAAAGUCUGAUGUGAAAUCCUGGGGCUCAACCCUGGAACUGCAUUGGAUACUUCCUUGCUAGAGUACUGGAGAGGAAACUGGAAUUUACGGUGUAGCAGUGAAAUGCGUAGAGAUCGUAAGGAAGACCAGUGGCGAAGGCGAGUUUCUGGACAGUUACUGACGCUGAGGCACGAAGGCCAGGGGAGCAAACGGG
This 253-nucleotide ribosomal RNA is filed under the name uncultured bacterium. RNAcentral's name for it is "partial 16S ribosomal RNA". It matches the Rfam family "Bacterial small subunit ribosomal RNA", at positions 524 to 776 of the family's 1533-position model. The record is from RNAcentral.